Pezoporus flaviventris is the source of this 440-nucleotide long non-coding RNA. RefSeq lists it as uncharacterized. NCBI's taxonomy places the organism in Eukaryota, Metazoa, Chordata, Aves, Psittaciformes, Psittacidae. The transcript has 4 exons. The record is from RefSeq and is a predicted model, not a curated record.
CUUUUUUCACUUCUUUUCUUUUUCAAACACAUGACAUUUACUAUACUUCUUUUGUGAAAUCUAGGGUUUCAUUGUCUCAUUUUUAAGUUUGCCUUUUUUCUUCCAGCCACCAAGCUAGAUAAAACUUCUUUAAAGCACCUGAGAGAGAGAGAGAAAGAACACCUCCAGAGAGCAGCCUGCUGAUAGAACCUACUUCUUACAAUAUGCUUGUUCUGUUCUACAGUGUGAGAGCAAUAAAUUAUCAGACAUAGUGACUGAAGGGGAAGACGAAGAUAGCCUUCUUGUUCCAUACGAAGUGGGAGGUGAAGCGGCAAAGACGGGAAGAUUAAUUCAAGAAGAUAACUCAGUAGUUUACAACAUGGAGGACAAGGGAGAUCCUUGAAGGUGAGAAGCAGUUCUUGCAUGACCGGUGGCUAUCACCAUACAUCUGCUACUGCACA